UACGAAGGGGGCUAGCGUUGUUCGGAAUUACUGGGCGUAAAGCGCGCGCAGGCGGUCCUUUAAGUCAGGGGUGAAAGCCCAGAGCUCAACUCUGGAACUGCCUUUGAAACUAGAGGACUUGGGUACGGGAGAGGUGAGUGGAAUUCCGAGUGUAGAGGUGAAAUGCGCAGAUAUCGGGAAGAACACCCGUGGCGAAGGCGGCUCUCUGGGACGGUACUGACGCUGAGACGCGAAAGCGUGGGGAGCGAACAGG
RNAcentral lists this ribosomal RNA (253 nucleotides) under uncultured bacterium. RNAcentral describes it as "partial 16S ribosomal RNA". It matches the Rfam family "Bacterial small subunit ribosomal RNA", at positions 524 to 776 of the family's 1533-position model. The record is from RNAcentral.